UAAAUAUUUUGUAAAAUUAAUUUCACCUGUUUCUUCUUCUAUUUAGUGUGGCUACUGGAUAAUCUGAAAUCGUGCCUGUGGUUUGCAUUAUGUUUUAUUGGACAGCACUGACUUGAUCGUCCAGAGCCAAAUUCCAGGCUGUGGAGAUUAAGAAGAGGAGUUGACACAUUUGGUCAAAGCUGGGGGAAACGCAGCAUAGGCUUGAGCUCAUGCUGCAAACGCCAUCAAGCUCACCCACUAUGUGCCAUGGACUGUGCUGGGUGCUAGGGACCCCACAGUAAAGAAGACUUGGUUCCUGCCCAGGGCAGGGGAGACACACACUGAAAGGAAAAUAUAAGGCAAUGGACAAAUGCUCAACCCAGGUCUCAAGCUUAUUACUCUAGGAGUUGAAAGGUGGAAGUGAGUCUCCCACUUCCUCAAUCUUAACGUGGCAUUUACAAAUGAGGGAGCCAACCAAGCACUGCAGCCCUGAUAUUUCUGGAAACAAUGGUAGAAAAUAAGUCACCUCAGCUUUUCUAAGUUGUGAAACAGAAGCUACAGAAAAGGGAACCCUCCUCGUAUUCCUGGGCCUGACACAGAUUCACAUUCUCUGAAUAAUCUCGAAAACUGCUUAUUGUAACAGACCACGCAAUUUAGAAAUUUAUUUUAAGACCUGUUACUCUCUGAUUCAUCUGCUUGAAGGCAAAUUACAGGAGUCGUUGUAAUAAAAAUGCUUAGGCUGAUCAUAAUAAAACA
Long non-coding RNA from Acinonyx jubatus (cheetah), 735 nucleotides. RefSeq lists it as uncharacterized. The transcript has 3 exons. Lineage: Eukaryota; Metazoa; Chordata; Mammalia; Carnivora; Felidae. The record is from RefSeq and is a predicted model, not a curated record.